This 757-nucleotide ribosomal RNA is filed under the name Salmonella enterica. RNAcentral describes it as "partial 23S ribosomal RNA". It matches the Rfam family "Bacterial large subunit ribosomal RNA", at positions 408 to 1165 of the family's 2925-position model. The record is from RNAcentral. Lineage: Bacteria; Pseudomonadati; Pseudomonadota; Gammaproteobacteria; Enterobacterales; Enterobacteriaceae.
AUGAGUAGGGCGGGACACGUGGUAUCCUGUCUGAAUAUGGGGGGACCAUCCUCCAAGGCUAAAUACUCCUGACUGACCGAUAGUGAACCAGUACCGUGAGGGAAAGGCGAAAAGAACCCCGGCGAGGGGAGUGAAAAAGAACCUGAAACCGUGUACGUACAAGCAGUGGGAGCACCCUUUGGGGUGUGACUGCGUACCUUUUGUAUAAUGGGUCAGCGACUUAUAUUCUGUAGCAAGGUUAACCGAAUAGGGGAGCCGGAGGGAAACCGAGUCUUAAUUGGGCGUUAAGUUGCAGGGUAUAGACCCGAAACCCGGUGAUCUAGCCAUGGGCAGGUUGAAGGUUGGGUAACACUAACUGGAGGACCGAACCGACUAAUGUUGAAAAAUUAGCGGAUGACCUGUGGCUGGGGGUGAAAGGCCAAUCAAACCGGGAGAUAGCUGGUUCUCCCCGAAAGCUAUUUAGGUAGCGCCUCGUGAAUUCAUCUCCGGGGGUAGAGCACUGUUUCGGCUAGGGGGCCAUCCCGGCUUACCAACCCGAUGCAAACUGCGAAUACCGGAGAAUGUUAUCACGGGAGACACACGGCGGGUGCUAACGUCCGUCGUGAAGAGGGAAACAACCCAGACCGCCAGCUAAGGUCCCAAAGUCAUGGUUAAGUGGGAAACGAUGUGGGAAGGCCCAGACAGCCAGGAUGUUGGCUUAGAAGCAGCCAUCAUUUAAAGAAAGCGUAAUAGCUCACUGGUCGAGUCGGCCUGCGCG